AGAGAAGUGUCUGAGUGGUCUAUGGUACCAGUUUUGAAAACUGGCAUACUUUAAGUAGUAUCGUGGGUUCGAAUCCCACCUUCUCUA
Molecule: transfer RNA, 87 nt
Filed under: Chattonella marina
Lineage: Eukaryota; Raphidophyceae; Chattonellales; Chattonellaceae
Also listed under: 4 other names
Description: tRNA-Ser
Rfam family: tRNA
About the family: Transfer RNA (tRNA) molecules are approximately 80 nucleotides in length. Their secondary structure includes four short double-helical elements and three loops (D, anti-codon, and T loops).
Source: RNAcentral